Molecule: ribosomal RNA, 253 nt
Filed under: uncultured bacterium
Lineage: Bacteria
Description: partial 16S ribosomal RNA
Rfam family: Bacterial small subunit ribosomal RNA
Source: RNAcentral
UACGUAGGGUGCGAGCGUUAAUCGGAAUUACUGGGCGUAAAGCGUGCGCAGGCGGUUCGUUAAGUUCGUCGUGAAAGCCCCGGGCUCAACCUGGGAAUGGCGAUGGAAACUGGCGGGCUGGAGUGUGGCAGAGGGGGGUGGAAUUCCGCGUGUAGCAGUGAAAUGCGUAGAGAUGCGGAGGAACACCGAUGGCGAAGGCAGCCCCCUGGGCCAACACUGACGCUCAGGCACGAAAGCGUGGGGAGCAAACAGG